This 551-nucleotide ribosomal RNA is filed under the name uncultured Thermoplasmatales archaeon. Its description in RNAcentral is "bacterial SSU rRNA". It matches the Rfam family "Archaeal small subunit ribosomal RNA", at positions 339 to 891 of the family's 1478-position model. Lineage: Archaea; Methanobacteriati; Thermoplasmatota; Thermoplasmata; Thermoplasmatales. The record is from RNAcentral.
GCGCGAAAACUUUGCACUGUGCGAAAGCACGACAAGGGAAUCCCAAGUGCUGGCUCGUAAGAGUCAGCUGUUUCUCUGUCUAAAAAACAGAGAGAGUAAGGGCUGGGUAAGACGGGUGCCAGCCGCCGCGGUAAUACCUGCAGCCCAAGUGGUGGCCGUUAUUAUUGGGCCUAAAACGUCCGUAGCCGGUUCUAUAAAUGCCUGGGUAAAUCGUACGGCUUAACCGUACGAAUUCCGGGUAGACUGUUCAACUUGGGACCGGGAGAGGCUAGAGGUACUCCUGGGGUAGAGGUGAAAUUCUGUAAUCCUAGGGGGACCACCAGUGGCGAAGGCGUCUAGCUAGAACGGGUCUGACGGUGAGGGACGAAGCCCUGGGGCGCAAACGGGAUUAGAUACCCGGGUAGUCCCAGCUGUAAACGAUGCAGGCUAGGUGUUUGGACGGCCACGUGCCGUUCUAGUGCCGCAGGGAAGCUGUUAAGCCUGCCGCCUGGGGAUACGAUCGCAAGAUUGAAACUUAAAGGAAUUGGGCGGGGGAGCACCACAAGGGGGUG